GCCCGCGUGGCGGAAUUGGCAGACGCGCUAGAUUCAGGUUCUAGUGGGUAACACCGUACAGGUUCAAGUCCUGUCGCGGGCACCA
RNAcentral lists this transfer RNA (85 nucleotides) under Pedosphaera sp. RNAcentral describes it as "tRNA-Leu". It matches the Rfam family "tRNA". From Rfam's summary of the family: Transfer RNA (tRNA) molecules are approximately 80 nucleotides in length. Lineage: Bacteria; Pseudomonadati; Verrucomicrobiota; Pedosphaerae; Pedosphaerales; Pedosphaeraceae. RNAcentral also lists the same sequence under 4 other names. The record is from RNAcentral.